This is a non-coding RNA of Parascedosporium putredinis, 82 nucleotides long. Lineage: Eukaryota; Fungi; Ascomycota; Sordariomycetes; Microascales; Microascaceae. The record is from the annotation of a GenBank genome assembly.
UCUUCCUUGGUCUAGUGGUCAGGAUACCUGCUUGUCAUCGAACAAGUCGCAGGUGGCCGGGGUUCGAUUCCCCGAGGGAGAG